This 218-nucleotide unclassified non-coding RNA is filed under the name soil metagenome. Its description in RNAcentral is "partial contains 5.8S ribosomal RNA, internal transcribed spacer 2, and large subunit ribosomal RNA". The record is from RNAcentral.
AACAUCGCGCACCUGCGGGAACCUGCGGAAGGAUCAUUACAGAGUUGCAAGACUCCCUAAACCACUGUGAACCUACCUUCUACCGUUGCUUCGGCGGGCGGGCCCAGCGCCCCCCCGGCCCCCCGCGGGCGCCCGCCGGAGGAUACCCAAACUCUUGACAUUAGUGGCCUCUCUGAGUAUUCUUUACUGAAUAAGUCAAAACUUUCAACAAUGGAUCU